RNAcentral lists this non-coding RNA (46 nucleotides) under Schistosoma curassoni. The record is from RNAcentral. Lineage: Eukaryota; Metazoa; Platyhelminthes; Trematoda; Strigeidida; Schistosomatidae.
ACUCAGCUGACGAGUCCCACGCAGGGACGAAACCCGAGUCCUAAAU